RNAcentral lists this ribosomal RNA (451 nucleotides) under uncultured bacterium. RNAcentral's name for it is "partial 16S ribosomal RNA". It matches the Rfam family "Bacterial small subunit ribosomal RNA", at positions 354 to 796 of the family's 1533-position model. The record is from RNAcentral.
GUGGGGAAUAUUGGACAAUGGGGGGAACCCUGAUCCAGCCAUGCCGCGUGUGUGAAGAAGGCCUUUUGGUUGUAAAGCACUUUAAGCGAGGAGGAGGCUACCGAGAUUAAUACUCUUGGAUAGUGGACGUUACUCGCAGAAUAAGCACCGGCUAACUCUGUGCCAGCAGCCGCGGUAAUACAGAGGGUGCAAGCGUUAAUCGGAUUUACUGGGCGUAAAGCGCGCGUAGGUGGCCAAUUAAGUCAAAUGUGAAAUCCCCGAGCUUAACUUGGGAAUUGCAUUCGAUACUUGUUGGCUAGAGUAUGGGAGAGGAUGGUAGAAUGCCAGGUGUAGCGGUGAAAUGCGUAGAGAUCUGGAGGAAUACCGAUGGCGAAGGCAGCCAUCUGGCCUAAUACUGACACUGAGGUGCGAAAGCAUGGGGAGCAAACAGGAUUAGAAACCCUUGUAGUCC